This is a long non-coding RNA of Paramisgurnus dabryanus, 933 nucleotides long. RefSeq lists it as uncharacterized. Lineage: Eukaryota; Metazoa; Chordata; Actinopteri; Cypriniformes; Cobitidae. The record is from RefSeq and is a predicted model, not a curated record.
UCACCAUCAUCAGUGGAUGCCUUUGCCGUCCGUAGCCUGAGAUUUCAGAUUUGCAGCAAAAAAAAUUUGAUUUUCUCCUUUAUUGGAAUGCUGUGCAGGUAUUUGUACCUUGCAGCCUUCCAUUACAAUGUCACCAAGCCGUAACAAAAGCAGGAGAGGGAAAGUACAAGGCUAUGUUCCCAAAACACACAAGUGACAUACCUUAUGUGGAGGAUGUGAUCAGGCUUGUGUUUGAUGAGGUAUUUGAAGAUAAGCUGAAGGAAGCCCUGAUUCCAAUGGACCUGGCAUCACAGUUUGAGAGACCUUCAAAGGAGGACGUGAUUGCAUGCCAUCUUCAGUGCAGAGGUCGUCGAAAGCCAAAAUUGUGACCAAUCUGAUCAGGAAGCUCCAAGCGUAUCUGGAGAACAACACACGACAGGAUGAUAACCUUAUAGUGUCGUCUUAAAUAGCACCAGCUGACAAAGCUUUGAUAUGCCAUUUAUCUGAAUAGAUAGCUGUAAGAAAUGAAUUGAACAAUUUUUGAAACAAGAGCACAAUAUGGUUACUAAAGUAUGUUUAUUUAUAUAUUGUUUAACAUUUAAAUAUAUAUUUGUAAUAAAUAAAAAAAACUUUUGACUGACUAUUAUAUUUUGUUUAAAGUUACAUCUUUUGUUCUUUUGGGUACUUUGUUACUAUAAUGAUACUUUAGUGUUAUUGGUUUAAAAAUGUAAUAAAACUUACUCUAGUCCUGCACCUCAAAGGCUUAUAGUCGGUACAAUAAAUGUUCUGUGUGUAGGGAUUUAGACAAUUUGUGCAAAACCUGGAUGAUGAAUCACGCAGGUAAGAGGCCCUGGAACCUGUUGCAUUCUCCUUAAAACCUAAUAAGUAAAAACAUAGCACUUAUAAGUAAGCAGUCUUUCAUAAAAAAGUUUACCAUAGUAAAAUAAUGUAGAA